CCAACUAUAACAGCUACCUAGGGCUGGGGGUAGACGAUUAUUUAUUAAACGAUUAAUCUAACGAUUAUUUUGUCGAUUCGUCGACUAAUCGAACAACUAAUUGGCCGAUUUUUUUUGUGUGUGUGGCGUGCUGCUGCAAGCGUCGUUGACAUCAUUGAUGCGUCGCUACAGGCCUACAGCUAUGUGUCUGGAACUGUUGGCAUCUACACGGACCAAAAUUAUGAACGCAACACUUUCGUUUUUGCCCCCAUUUUUCAUGAACUGAGCUCAAAGAUCUAAGACUUUUUCUACGUACACAAAAAACGUAGGCGAAAACCAGUCAGUAUCUGUUGUGAACCAUUUGCCUCAUGCAGUGUAACACAUCUCCUUCGCAUAGAGUUGAUCUAGUUGUUGAUUGUAGCCUGUUGAAUGUUGGUCCACUCCUCUUCAAUGGCAGUGUGAAGUUGCUGGAUAUUGGCAGGAACUGGAACGCGCUGUCGUAUACGCCGAUACAGAGCAUCCCAAACAUGCUCGAUGAGUGACAUGUCCGUUGAGUAUGCUGUAGGAGCAAAAACUGGGAUGUUUUCAGCUUCCAGGAAUUGUGUACAGAUCCUUGCAACAUGGGCCCGUGCAUUAUCAUCCUGCAUCAUGAGGGAUGGUCGUGGAUGAGUGGCACAUCAAUGGGCUCCAGGAUCUCGUCACUGUAUCUCUUUGCCAUCAAUUAAAUACACACGUGUUCGCUGUCCAUAACAUACGCCUGCCCAUUACAUAAUGCCACUGCCACCAUGGGCAACUCGAUCUACAACGUUGACAUCAGCAAACCUCUCACCCAUUAUUGUUGCGAAACAUACUGAUGUCAUGGGUUAUAGAAGGAUUUCUAAACCUCUGAAUGUUCCAGUGAGCACUGUUGGGGCCAUAAUUUAGAAGUGGAAAGAACAUAAUUUCACCAUCAACCAACCACGACCAGGUGCUCCUCACAAGAUUUCUGAGUAAGAAGAAGAAUCAGAAGAGUGGUCCAAGAGCCAAGGACAACUUGUGGAGAACUUCAGAAAGACUUAGGGAAUAAGGAACCAAUUGUUUUCAACCGCAUUGGCCUGUACUCAGGCUCGCCACGCAAGCCUCCAUUGGUGAAGAAAAACAUGUUAAAGCUUGUUUAAAGUUUGCUGCACAACAUUUAGACAAGCCUGUGAAAUACUGGUAGAAUAUAUGCUGGUCACAUGAGACCAAAAUUUAACUCUUUGGAUAACAUAAUACACACCAGGUUUUGAGGUCAAAUGGCACUGGACUUCAUCCCCAAAACACCAAACCAACUGUGAAGUCAUUGAUAAAAGUCUGCUGGUAUAUACCAGAAUGAUGAAGAUGAAAUGAGGGUGGACAUUUCAGCAAGACAAUGAUCCCAAUCACACAGCAAAGGAAACACUCAAUUGGUUUCAGAGAAAGAAAAUGAACCUGCAAGAAUGGCCCAGCCAAUCACCUAACUUGAAUCAAGUAGAAAAUCUAUGGAAAUAACUUAUUUGAUUUGUUUGUUUUGACAUCUGGAGAAAAUUUCAUGUCAACAGCACCUUGCAAUAAAUGGUGACGUGUUCAAUAUUUAUUGUAUACGCUGUAUCAACAAGGAGUUAAUUCAGUUAUGUGCACAGUUAUGUAUGGUAUAAACUUUCUUGUUUAACAGGUUUGUAGGAGACAAGAUAAAAUCUAUCCAACACCCUUUGUGUUGUCCAGUGUCACCGUUCAACAGUCCAUCACAAGGAAGGAGAGCAAAUACUGUACUGGAAUCUGUCUUUAUUUGAGCCAUAAGUUCACCUGCAUCUUGAAAAACUGUCAGUUGCUUCGACAAUUGAAAUCAUCAUUGAACCAUGACGCAAAAGUUGACAAAUGGAGAAGAAUUGUUAAUGCAGUUAAAGGGCAAGCUGUCCUCAACUGGAGUUUUCGGAUCUUUUCCUCUGAGCUGUUUGUUAAUCGGACUGGAGGCUUUGAUGGAUGUGGAGUUUUAUUGUCCGUGCAGAAUCGGGUGGAAUCGUGAUCUUUCUAAUCUGAUCAUAACCGCUCCUGCUUGCUUUGCCUUUGUUUUAAUGUUCUUAUGGUUGAGACCCUGUGGUUGUAAAGUCCAGUCUUGGAAAUGUGAUAGUUCGGGUCUAUGUGAUGAAACUACCCAAAAUAGUGUUAAAAGAUUCCUGCACUGUCUGAUUCCACCUGUGGUGUGGUUCUUUCUUGUGCUAUAUGAUGGAAGCUAUUACACUUGUAGUCAAACAGACUGGGAUGGAGUGUAUGUUCAUGAUGAGGUGCUGGGAAAGAAAUGGUGUAAACCCACUGAUGGGAACGCAAGUAGAGAAAUCCAACUACGAAAUAAAACUCAAACUUUUGUUAAUUGGUCACAGUUUGCAAGUUAUAUUCUGGUCAUGGUCUUCUGCGCUGUGGCAUUUGUUCUUGUGUGCGUAUAUGACUGCCGGAUAAAUUGUACAUGCUGUGGAAAUGAACAACAGGACAGUGAAGAGACAGUGAGGAGAGGGAGAUGAAUCCAAUGAGAAAUGAUGUACAACCUCAAAUCACUCAUGCUAGAUGUUCAGUGAACGACAUUUCACUUUUUCUGAGUGCAAAUGCUCAAAACGAUGGCCCUUAAAGUAUCUUUUAACUGUAGAUCUUUAUAUCAGCCUGUACUGCACUGGUGAUGGCAAUGUAUUCACUUUUUUAAUUAUGUGGUAAGAUGGAAUAUGAUCCACCUGUGCGGUAAUUUUAGCAACUAUAUAGUAAUUGCUUUCACAUAUAUCCAUGUCUCUUUUUGUGGAAAGAGAUUUAUUUUCAAUGUUUGCCAUUUGGUAAGGUGGGAUGAAAAAACAGAAUUUUUGGAAAAAAAACAGACAACUAGACAGAACACAUUUGACUGCAUUGUCUAAUACAAAAUUAUUAAAAAGACGAUGUCUAAUAUGCAUGCAAAUAUAUAAUCUGAGGAUAAAAUAAUCACAAACAUAUUCCAGAAGCUUGUGUCAAAUUGCUGCUGUCAGUCUUGACAGGGUGAGUUAAUUUAAUAAAUGUCAUUUUGUUUUUUAAAUUUUUUGACUGUAGUCCAACUGUGGACUGUGGUCCAACUCUAGUCCAAUAUCAUCUUCCUUGUUUGACAGGUUUGUUGGUGGCUUACUAACCACACACAAACAAAUUAUAUUUUAAUUUUAUAUGAAC
This is a long non-coding RNA of Triplophysa dalaica, 3156 nucleotides long. RefSeq lists it as uncharacterized. NCBI's taxonomy places the organism in Eukaryota, Metazoa, Chordata, Actinopteri, Cypriniformes, Nemacheilidae. The record is from RefSeq and is a predicted model, not a curated record. The transcript has 3 exons.